Molecule: ribosomal RNA, 498 nt
Filed under: uncultured bacterium
Lineage: Bacteria
Description: partial 16S ribosomal RNA
Rfam family: Bacterial small subunit ribosomal RNA
Source: RNAcentral
ACUCAAAUGAAUUGACGGGGGCCCGCACAAGCGGUGGAGCAUGUGGUUCAAUUCGACGCAACGCGAAGAACCUUACCUGGGCUCGAAGCGCAGUGGAAUGAGGUGGAAACAUCUCAGCCCGCAAGGGCCGCUGCGGAGGUGCUGCAUGGCUGUCGUCAGCUCGUGUCGUGAGAUGUUGGGUUAAGUCCCGCAACGAGCGCAACCCUUAUCGUUAGUUGCCACCGGGUCAAGCCGGGCACUCUAGCGAAACCGCCUCGGAUAACGGGGAGGAAGGUGGGGAUGACGUCAAGUCCUCAUGGCCUUUAUGUCCAGGGCUACACACGUGCUACAAUGCGCGGUACAAAGCGUCGCAAACCCGUGAGGGGGAGCUAAUCGCAAAAAGCCGUGCUCAGUUCGGAUUGGAGUCUGCAACCCGACUCCAUGAAGCUGGAAUCGCUAGUAAUCGCAGAUCAGAACGCUGCGGUGAAUACGUUCCCGGGCCUUGUACACACCGCCCGU